RNAcentral lists this ribosomal RNA (497 nucleotides) under uncultured bacterium. RNAcentral describes it as "partial 16S ribosomal RNA". It matches the Rfam family "Bacterial small subunit ribosomal RNA", at positions 28 to 507 of the family's 1533-position model. The record is from RNAcentral.
GAUGAACGCUGGCGGCGUGCCUAAUACAUGCAAGUCGAGCGAACAGACGAGGAGCUUGCUCCUCUGACGUUAGCGACUGACGGGUGAGUAACACGUGGAUAACCUACUUAUAUGACUGGGAUAACUUCGGGAAACCGGAGCUAAUACCGGAUCAUAUCUUCUACCGCAUGUUUCAAUAGUGAAAGACGUUUUUCCUGUCUCUUUUAGAUGGAUCCGUGUCGCAUUAGCUAGUUGGUAAGGUAACGGCUUACCAAGGCUACGUUGCGUAGCCGACCUGAGAGGGUGAUCAGCCACACUGGAACUGAGACACGGUCCAGACUCCUACGGGAGGCAGCAGUAGGGAAUAUUCCGCAAUGGGCGAAAGCCUGACGGAGCAAUGCCGCGUGAGUGAUGAAGGUCUUCGGAUCGUAAAACUCUGUUAUUAGGGAAGAACAAAAGUGUGAGUAACUAUGCACGUCUUGACGGUACCUAAUCAGAAAGCCACGGCUAACUACGUG